RNAcentral lists this ribosomal RNA (285 nucleotides) under uncultured bacterium. RNAcentral's name for it is "partial 16S ribosomal RNA". It matches the Rfam family "Bacterial small subunit ribosomal RNA", at positions 334 to 615 of the family's 1533-position model. The record is from RNAcentral.
UUCGCCUACGGGACGCAGCAGUGAGGAAUAUUGGUCAAUGGGCGGGAGCCUGAACCAGCCAAGUCGCGUGAGGGAUGACGGUCCUACGGAUUGUAAACCUCUUUUGCCGGGGAGCAAGCGUGCGUUCGUGAACGCGCGUCGAGAGUACCCGGAGAAAAAGCAUCGGCUAACUCCGUGCCAGCAGCCGCGGUAAUACGGAGGAUGCGAGCGUUAUCCGGAUUUAUUGGGUUUAAAGGGUGCGCAGGCGGGCUGUUAAGCCGGCGGUAAAAAUUCAGGGCUCAACCC